GGUUGGUGCAAAAGUAAUUGGGGUUUUGCCAUUAAAAGUAAUGAUAAAACUGUAAUUACUUUUGCACCAACCUAAUA
This is a microRNA precursor of Aotus nancymaae (Ma's night monkey), 77 nucleotides long. The record is from Ensembl. Lineage: Eukaryota; Metazoa; Chordata; Mammalia; Primates; Aotidae.